GAGGGUAUAGCUCAGUGGUAGAGUCCGUGCCUAGCAUGCACAAGGUCCUAGGUUCAAUCCCCAGUACCUUCA
Transfer RNA from Camelus ferus (Wild Bactrian camel), 72 nucleotides. It matches the Rfam family "tRNA". Rfam says of the family: Transfer RNA (tRNA) molecules are approximately 80 nucleotides in length. NCBI's taxonomy places the organism in Eukaryota, Metazoa, Chordata, Mammalia, Artiodactyla, Camelidae. The record is from Rfam.